RNAcentral lists this ribosomal RNA (1228 nucleotides) under Dryadodacryma continuum. RNAcentral describes it as "partial 16S ribosomal RNA". Lineage: Eukaryota; Metazoa; Arthropoda; Insecta; Diptera; Tephritidae. The record is from RNAcentral.
GCAAAUCAAUAUAAAUUGAUUUUUAAAUAUAAUUUAUUUAUUAAUUUUUUUUUUUUAUUAUUAUAAUUUAUUAAAAAUAAUUAUAUAAUUUUAAUGUUUUAGUAAUUUUUAGUGAAAAAAUAAUAUUUAUAAUAGUUAAAUAUGUAUUGUGAAAGAAUAUUGAAAUAUUUUGAAAAAUUUUUAUUAUAUAAGAAAAUUUUUUUUAUUGUACCUUGUGUAUCAGGGUUUAUUAAAUAAUUAAUAUGUAUGAUUUAUUAAUCUCGAUUUUAUAAGAGUUAAUAAUUUAUGAAAGUUAAUGUAUAAAAAUUAUUUUAAAUAAAUUAUUAGAAAUGAAAUGUUAUUCGUUUAUAAAGGUAUCUAGUUUUUUUAGAAAUAAAUUUAAUUUAUAAUUUUUUAAUUUUUUAUUUAUUUAUUAAAAUAAAAAAUUUAUUUAAUUGAAUAAUUUAAGGGAUAAGCUUUAAAUUAAAUUUUUAAAAAUUAAUAAUUUAUUUAUAAAAUGUAUGUGUAGAAUUAGCAAUCAUUUGCAAAUUUGUUAUAAAUUAUUUUAUAUAAUUUAUAUUAUUUAUUAGUAUUUUAAAUUUUUAUAAAAUUUUUUUUUUUAAUAUUAAUAUAAAAAUUAAUAAUGAUAAAAUUAGUAUAUUUUAUUGUUUAUAUAAUUUAAUUAUGAUAAGUUUAUAUAAAGAAUUCGGCAAAUUUUUUAUACUCGCCUGUUUAACAAAAACAUGUCUUUUAGAGUUAAUUUUAAAGUCUAACCUGCCCACUGAAUUUAUUUAGAUGGCCGCAGUAUUUUAACUGUGCAAAGGUAGCAUAAUCAUUAGUCUUUUAAUUGAAGGCUGGAAUGAAUGGUUGGACGAAGUAUAAGCUGUUUCAUAUAAAUUUAUAAUAGAAUUUUAUAUUUUAGUUAAAAAGCUAAAAUUUAAUUAAAAGACGAGAAGACCCUAUAAAUCUUUAUAUUUUAUAUUAAUUAAAUUUUAUUGAUAAAUUUUAUUUUUUUAAUAUAAAAUAUUUUGUUGGGGUGAUAUUAAAAUUUAAUUAACUUUUAAUUUAAUUAAAUCAUUAAUUUAUGAUAAAUUGAUCCGUUAAUAACGAUUAUAAGAUUAAGUUACUUUAGGGAUAACAGCGUAAUUUUUUUGGAGAGUUCAUAUCAAUAGAAAAGUUUGCGACCUCGAUGUUGGAUUAAGAGAUAUUUUUAGGUGCAGCUGCUUAAAUAUAAAGUCUGUUCGACUUU